AUGAGCAUAUCCCGGGCCAUUGGGGUCAUUAGUGGCCUCAAUGAAUGUGUCAAUUUGUUUCAGUGGGCUGGAUCUUCUAUUUCGUAUCUGCGCUCCCGGUGGUCUGCAACACAGGAGGAAAGUAUCCAUCAUGAAGUAUUGCACUUGCAGAGUGGCUUACAACGUCUUAGGGAUACUCUUCCUGCAAUGUACAGUCUUAUUGACAAAGCAGAGUGGAGGAUCCAUGAAGGCCGUGUCGCUGAGCUCCUCCCCAACCUCAAAGAUGCAGUGAAUGAUGCUGAUGAUCUUCUUGAUGAGUUCAGAUGGCAUGAGCUAAAGAUGGAGGUGGAGGGCAAUGCAAGUCAUUCUGCCUUUAUUGACUUCUACAAGACUACCGUACAAGGCAGCUUCAACAAAGUGAAUGAUAUCCAAGAGAGGUUGAAUAGUAUUUCUGGUCAGCUAGAGAAAAUGGGGCUGUAUGGAGUGACACCAGGGUUCGACAAAUCAGUCAGGCCAGACACUACCCCUUUCCCGAAUGAAAAAAAAAAAUUUGGUCGUGACAAGGAUCUGAAGGAGGUGAUGGGAUUUCUCGGUGUACCUCAAAGUAAAGGAAGGGCCUGUUCAAAACGCAAGAGAGCAAGUAGCACAGUCAAUGCAUCAACAAGCACAACAGCACAGAACCAAGUUAAUAAAUCAAGAAUAUCAGCUAUUCCUGUUUUGCCAAUAGUUGGAAUGGGGGGCGUUGGAAAGACCACUUUGGCUCAACAUAUAUGCAAUCAUCAAGAGGUGAAAGAGUACUUUGACUUAAUAAUCUGGAUUUGUGCAGAUGACUUUGAUGUAAAGAGAUUAAUUAAAGAUGCCAUACAAUCCGCUUCCGGAAAAAAGACAACACUCGAUCAUUUAGCUUCUCUUCAACAUGCUCUUUCUAGCAGUGUGAGCAAUAAAAGGUUCUUGAUUGUUGUUGAUGACGUGUGGGAUGAUGCCUUGAUGGAAAAUGAGCAGCGUUGGAAAGACUUCUAUGAUUCUUUGACAAACGUGGUACAGGGAAGUAUGAUGUUGGUCACAACAAGAUUUCCAGAUGUUGCUGAUAGAGUGCGCACAAUGGAGCCCUUUCCAUUAGCUGGUUUGAAGGAGGAUGUGUUUUGGCGUUUCUUCAAACUUUGUGCAUUUGGGUCUGAGAGUUGCGAAAAUGAUCCUGAGUUAGUGAGGAUUGGCAAAAGCAUAGUUCCAAAGUUGAAGGGUUCUCCUUUGGCCGCCAAAACUCUUGGACGCCUAUUAGGAAUGAACCUUCAUACAGCACAUUGGAAUAAUAUACUGGAGAGUGAACUCUGGAAGUUGAAACAAGAGAAGACUGAUAUCUUGCCAGCCCUUCGGUUGAGCUACAUAUAUUUGCCAUUUCACUUGAAGAGAUGCUUCUCAUUCUGUGCUGUGUAUGCCAAAGAUCACAAAUUUGAAAAGGGCCGCUUAGCUGAAAUUUGGGUAGCAGAGGGCUUUGUGGAACCUCAAGGCAACACUCCACUUGAAGAUAUUGGCCAUCAGUACUUUGAGGACCUUGUAAAUAGGUCCUUCUUUCAAAAAGUUCGUGGUACAUACGUAAUCCAUGACUUGCUGCAUGACAUGGCAAAACUAGUUUCAGACCAUGACUGCUUCACCAUAAAAAGUAUGAGGGACUUCCAAAUGGUUCCCCAGAAUGUUCGUCAUCUGUACAUACUGCCAAGCAGAGACUUGAGCACUUCCAACUUGUUGAGCCUAAGCAAUCACACAAAGCUGCGUACGCUAAUUUGUGACAAGUCUUUUGGGAAUCAAGGUGCAGCUAUAAUGGACCGUUGGUGUAGUGAGCUUCAGCGUUUACGUGUGAUUUUUUGGGCCUCUUCAAAUGAGUUGCCAGACAGUAUUGGCAACUUGAAGCAUCUUCGGUACCUUGAAAUCUCCAAGGCUUGUCCUUCCAAGAGCUUUUCUUCAGCAUUUUGUUCCCUCUAUAAUCUGCAGAGAUUAUACGUGAAGGAGUGCGAGUUAGAAAGUUUGCCCUGUGACUUUAGUAAGUUAAUAAGUUUACAGAGAUUUAAAUCACGAGGAUUUGAAUAUUAUGCAGGGUGCACUCUAAAUAUUGAUGCAACCAAUCAGUUCGAAAUGAAGUUGAUAAAGAAUUUGAACCAAUUUGAUGGACAUAUGAACAUACGGAAUCUUGGUUCUGUGAGGAAUUGUUAUGCAGAAGAAUUUAAACUGAAGGAUAAGAAGUAUCUUCGCAGACUGGCAUUGACAUGGUCUUUGUCGUACUCUCCUGAGGGUGUCGCGAAAGAAGUGCUUCAAGUCCUACAACCUCCCAGCGGUCUUGAAUCUCUGCUCCUUAAAGAUUAUCCAGAUGUGUCUCUCCCAAACUGGUUUCAGCUGCGUAUAAACCUAAAUGAGAUGCCUGCUGUGAUAGUUGACAACAAUAAUGACGAGAUUGGUACUUUGUCGUCCUUUGAAGAGCUAAUCAUUCUUCAGUGUCGAAAUCUACGAAGCGUCCAAUAA
RNAcentral lists this ribosomal RNA (2493 nucleotides) under Triticum aestivum (bread wheat). RNAcentral describes it as "partial small subunit ribosomal RNA". The record is from RNAcentral. Lineage: Eukaryota; Viridiplantae; Streptophyta; Magnoliopsida; Poales; Poaceae.